Molecule: non-coding RNA, 77 nt
Submitted as: unclassified sequences
Source: Rfam
UAGACGCUGUGCAACUGACGGAAGUGGAUGACCACAGGGAGCACAGGGAAGAAGAGCCGACCGUCUGGGCACAGCCU